This 496-nucleotide long non-coding RNA is filed under the name Rattus norvegicus (Norway rat). Its description in RNAcentral is "long non-coding RNA NONRATT029508". The record is from RNAcentral. Lineage: Eukaryota; Metazoa; Chordata; Mammalia; Rodentia; Muridae.
AGCUGAUCUGCUGGACAAGUGGGGAGCCUUCCGUGCCAGGCUGUUUCGAGAGUCCUGUGUCUUCCAUCGGGGAAACUACGUAAAGGACCUGAGCAGGCUGGGCCGAGACCUGCGGCGGGUGCUAAUCUUAGACAACUCACCCGCCUCAUACGUCUUCCAUCCAGACAAUGCCGUGAGUACACAAGAGACCCAGCGGCUGAGACACGACCAGAGCACAUGUGGUGGCCUCCCCCGCCCUACGUGGGGUGAUAGCAGGUGCUGGAAUGUCCUAUUACCUGUGUCUGCUCAUAUAUUCCACUCUACUUAUGUAUGAAGGGUCCUCAACUCUGGCUGGAGUCCCCAUCUGACAGUCUUCAAAGCUGUCCUAUUAAUGGGACAGAAUGAAUGUAGUAAGUCCCAGUUAGGGUCCCACUGAAAGGAGCACAGAAAGCUUAAGUGUUCUGUGAACUGUUUGCUUGCUGGCAUCUACAAAUGAAUUUCACCAUAAGCUGUCCCC